Brassica napus (rape) is the source of this 1195-nucleotide long non-coding RNA. RefSeq lists it as uncharacterized. The transcript is spliced from 2 exons. NCBI's taxonomy places the organism in Eukaryota, Viridiplantae, Streptophyta, Magnoliopsida, Brassicales, Brassicaceae. The record is from RefSeq and is a predicted model, not a curated record.
AUUUAUAUUGUUUUGGAAAAAAAGAAAUUUUUUUUAUCCUCCCGCAACCGCCCGCAACCGCAAACGCUAGCUGGAACCAGCUUUUGAAUUUAUGAGGUUCGGAACGAUUUGGAGCGGUUUGGAACGGUUUGGAACGGUUUGAGCGAUUGUUGCAAAACGCCAACAACCGCUACCAACCGCAAAAGCUGCGUUUGCGGGUGGUAGCGGGAAAACCAGUCAUGCCCUAAAUGACCUGAAGAAAAGCAUAGUGAUAGAGAUAUAAGAUAAUCAACACCAAGAUAUAAGAUAAUUAACACCGUCGCCAAACUAUAAUCCACUUGAACUUUUAUUACAUCUACAAAUUAUUUUUAGAAAGGUGAAAUCAAAAUUACCUCGAGGGCUUGCAUGUCAGAGGUCUCAAGUUCCAUGAAUUUAUUUAGCUAUUGUGUUUAUUUUCUAACAUAAUUUUUUAAUUUGAAGAACAUAUAACUUUAAUCUCAUGAAACCCAUUUCAUAAAUGUUUUGUAUGAUUUCGAGAAUAAUUCAUGGAACAAAAAUAAUUUACAAAAUUUGAGAAUUCUAACCGCUACGGUCUCUCCAACCUUACAAACUGAGUUGAAAAACCACAAACUUUAUUAUAAUUAUUCCCACACCUGUCUCAGCUUUUCUUUUUUUUUUAUUCCAAGAGCUUUGCCUAUGAUGCUCUGAUAGAAUUUUGUAUACGGAGCAGUCUUGUUUCGCUGAAGAAACGUUUCUAUCGACUGUUGAUCGUUUGGAAAGAAAGCAGCUUCAUCUCUAUCUUCAUUUGCAUAAACUCAAUAUUCAACUCCACCUGAUUCAUCGCUCAGUGCAUCAGUGAAACAAUUGCCAGGAAAUAGGACAAUUAAGAGUUUUAAGAUAUGAAUCAGCUAGACUGUGAACAUUUGAGGAUGUAGCUGAUAAUCUGGGAUUCUAGGAACUUUUGGCCUUCUGCUUCUUCCCUUUUUUAUCUGUAGAUGCCAACUGUGGAAGCGGAAGGAAACUUCAUAGACAUACCUCUGGAGUCCAUACUUUUUUUCAUUUCCAGCAUGUAAACACUGAUCAUAACUCAUAGACUCCGCUGGAAUAAAAGUUCCUACUGUAACAUGAUGAGAAUCGAAGCCUGUGAGUAGAAGAUUUUAUUUCUACUUUGUAAAGUGUGAUUCUCAGUUUCAUAAUGGUAGUUUAUUUCACCAUU